This 8827-nucleotide long non-coding RNA is filed under the name Homo sapiens (human). RNAcentral describes it as "non-protein coding NUP50-DT:54". Lineage: Eukaryota; Metazoa; Chordata; Mammalia; Primates; Hominidae. The record is from RNAcentral.
CAGCGAGGAGUAAAGCAAGCUAAAGCCAAAGCAAGCAGAAGAGAAAAAAUCACGGAUUUUAGUGGCAAUACAGAAUAGAAAUAGAAUAGAGAAAAAUCAAAAGUUACUCCUUUGUUCUUUUCAAGCUUUUUAGUUAGACUGACCAAGAAAAAAAGACUCAGGUUACUAAAGUCAGAAAUGAAAGAGGGCAUCACAAAUGCCCUUAAGAUUAAGAAGGGCUAUAAGGGAAUAUUAUGAAUAAUUUUAUGCCAACAAAUUGUAUAACCUAGAUGAAAUGGGCAAAUUCCCAGAAAGAUAAAAUUACCAAACCUUGAGAAGAAUUAGAAAAUCUGAAUAGAUUUUUAACAAGUAAGGAGAUUGGGUUAGUAAUUUAAAAAAACCCCAAAACCCUCCCAACAAAGAAAAGUCGAGGACCAGAUGGUGUCACUGGUGAAUUCUACCUAACAUUUAAAGAAUUAACACCAAUCUUCUCAAACUUCCAAAAAACAAGAGAAGAAAACGCUUCCUAACUCAUUCUAUGAGACUAGCAUUACCAUGACACCAAAGCUAGACAAAGGCAGUGCAAGAAAACUGUAGACCAAUAUUCCUUAUGAACAUAGAUGUAAAAAUUCUCGAGAAAAUACUAGCAAACUGAAUUCAGCAGCAUAUUAAAAGAAUUGCAGAUAUUUGUCACUUAUGAGGAGGAAACUUUCUGAGAAAUGCAUCAUUAGGCAAUUUUGUUGUUGUGUAGACGUCCUAGAGUAUACUUACACAAACCUAGCUGGAUAGCCUACUACACACCUAGUCUGUGUGGUAUAGCCUAUGCUCCUAGGCUACAAACCUGUACAUGUUGCUGCAUUGAAUACUGCAGGCAACUGUAAUACAGCGGUAAGUAUUUGUGUAUUUAAACAUAGAAAAGGUGCAGUAAAAGUAAAGUAUUAUAAUCUCAAGUGAGCACCAUCAUAUAUAACGCUGUUAUGCAGCACAUGACUGUAUAUACCCUGACCAAGUGAGAUUUGUCUUGGGAAUGCAAGCGUACUUCAACAUAUAAAAAUCAAUAUCAUACACCACAUUAAUAGAAUAAAGGGAAAAAACUAUAUGAUUAUCUCAAUUGAUGCAGAAAAAGCAUUUGAUAAAAAAACUAACAGCUUUUCAUGAUAAAAACAGACAGCAAACUAAUAAUAGAAGGGAAUUUUAUCAACUUGAUAAAAGGUAUGAAAAACUCAAAAAGAACAGUAUACUGAGUGUUUUCACCCUAAGAUCAAGAACAAGACAAGGAAGGGCACUCUUGUUACUUCUCUGCAACACUGUACUGGGAUUUGUAGCCAGGACAAUUAGACAAGAAAAAGAAAUAAAAGGCAAGAUUUCAAUGGGAAAGAAUAGACUUUUCAACAAAUGAUGCUGGGACAACUGGAUAUCCACAGGAGAAACAAUGAAGUUGAGCCCCCACCUCCCACCAUAUACAAAAAUUAACUCAAAUGAAUCAAUUAAAUGUAAGAGCUAGAAUCAUAGACGUCUUAGAAGAAAGCAUAGGCAUAGAUCUUCAUUGCCUUGAAUUAGGUUAUGAUCUCUUACUUAUAACACCAAAAGCACAAGCAAUAAAAGAAAAAAUGAAUUAGACUUCAUCAAAACUCAAAACUUUUGUACUUCUUAAGAUACCAUUCAAGAAAGUGAAAAGAUAACCAAAAGAAUGAGAGAAAAUAUUUGCAAAUCAUAUAUCUGAUAAGGGAUAUAUAUAUAUAUAAUAUAUAUGUAUACAUAUAUAUAAAGGACAUGUUGGGACCAGGAGUGGUGGCUCACACCUGUAGUACAAACACUUUGGGAGGCUGAGGUGGGAGGAUUACUUGAGGCCGGGAGUUUGAAACCAGGCUGGACAACGUAGUGAGACCCCCUCUCUACAAAAUAUGAAAAGUCAGCCCAGCUACUUGGGAGGCUGAGGCAGGAGGAUCACUUGAGCCCAGGAGUUCGGGGCUGCAAUGAGCUAUGAUUGUGCCACUGCACUCCAGCCUAGGUGACCAAUUGAGACUCUGUCUCUUUAAAAAAAAAAAAAAGUGUAUAACUCAACAAUAAAAAAGACAAAAAGCCCAGUAAAAAUGGGCAAACUACCUGAAUAGACACUUCUUUAAAGAAGAUAUACAAAUGGCCAAUAAGCAUAUGAAAGAUGUUCAACAUCAUUAGCAGGGAAAUGCAAAUCAAGACUGCAGAGAGAUAUCAUUUCACACCCACUAUGUGGAUAUAAUAAAACAGACAACAAGUGUUGAUGAUGUAGAGAAAUUAGAACCCUCAUACAUUGUUGGGGGGAAUAAAAAAUGGUGUAGCCACUUUGGGAGACAGUUUGGUAGCUCCUCAAAAUGUUAAAAAACAGAGUUAUCAUAUCACCCAGGAAUGCCAUGCCUAGGUAUACACCCAAAAAAGUUGAAAACAUGCCCAUAGAAAAACUUUUACGCAAAUGUUUAUAGAAUUAUUCAUAAUUACCAGAAAGUAGAAAUACCAAAAUAUCCAUAAAUGAAUGAGUGGAUACAUAAAAUAUGGCAUGUUCAUACAAUGGAAUAUUAUUUGCAAUAAGUAGAAUGAAGUAUUAAUACAUCCUGCAACUUGGAUCUACCUUGAAAACAUGCUAAGUGAAAGAACAGAAGACCAGUCACGGGAGACCACAUAUUGUAUGACUUUGUUUAUAUGAAAUAGCCAUUAUACAGAAAUGCAUGGAGAUAGGAAGUAGAGUAGUGGUUGCUAAGGGCUGCAGGGAGGGGGGAAUGGGAAGCAACUGUUAAGGAGUAUGGAUUUCUCUUUGGAGUGAUAAAAAUAUAACACUUGAUAGUGGUUGAUUAUUGCACAAUUCUGUGAAUGCAUUAAAAUCCACUAAAUUGUGCACUUUGAAGGAUGAAUUUUAUGGUUUGUGAAUUAUAUCUCAACAAAGCUGUUAUUAAGAAAAAACUACCAUGGGACUUGAAAGCAGAUUAAGGAAAUAAGUAUUCUUUGUAAUUUUCCAACAUGCUGUUUGUUAGAGGUUCAUUUCAGAACUACCAGUUGUGUUGGAGGGAUAAACUGUGAAGAUCUCUGGUGUUCCUUCAUUUGUGCUUCUAAAAGCUUAUUGAGGACAGGAACCACAUCAGUUUUAUCUGUUUUCUAAGACUUUGGGAGUCCCGUGACAUUAACCAAGAGUCUGCAAUUACCCCUAUGAGCCCCAGAUGCACAAGUCAUUAAAGACCAAGUCCUCACAUCCUUCCUAAUACAGCGCUGCUCACCAGGUUCUUUUCAUUUGCCCUGUUUCAGUCAGACUGGACUGCUUAUUCUCUAUGUUGUUGUUACCACUAUUUCUUUGUUCAAGCUUCUGUUUCUACCCAGAAUGUUUCUCUCUGUCAUCUCUACCUGUUAAAAUCCUACCUACUAUUCCUUAUAUCAUCUCUUAAUCAUAUGUUACUAUUGUCUGGUAUUGUCAUUUUUUAUAACCUUAGUAGACAUGAUUAUUCUUUAUAUGAUCAAUGUUUAUUUAUAGUUGCCCACACAUUUAUUACUUCUUUUUUUUCAUCUUAGAACUUCUAACUGGGAACUCUUUUCUAAUGCCUGAAGCACAAUUUGUAGUAUUGCAUUCAGUGAGGAUCUACUGAUACAGACUCUCAAUUUUGUUUGUUGAAACUAUUCUUAUUUUAAUUCUUGAAAAUUUUCUUGGCAGUUCUUUUCUUUGAGAUGCUUUCUUACACUGUCUUCUGAUCUCUCUCACUGCUGUGGAAAAUCAAUCUAUGGAAAAGCAGUCAAUGCUUCUUUGAAGGGCAUCCCCUCCAUACACACUUUUACAACUUUUUUAUUUGAUUUUUUUUUUUUGCAAUUUCACUAUGAUAUAUUAGAUGACAGUUUCUUUUUGUUUAUCUUGUUUGAGAUGUACUGGGCUCUCAAAUCUGUGGAUAAGUGGUCAGACUGGUGAAACUCACAGCGUUAUCUCUUCUGUUGUUUCCUCUGCUUGGUUUUCCCAGUUCUCUCUUUCUGGGACUUUGAGCAAAUACAUUAGACCUCCUUACUGUAUCCCACACAUCUCUUACCCUUUCCUCAGUAUUUUCUGUCUUCUCCAGGCUGCAUUCUGGAUAAUUUCUUCUGCAUUGACUUUCAGUUCAUUAAUUCUCUCCUUGACUGUGUCCAGUCUGCCACUAAUAGUCCAUAGAAUUUGAAAUUUGGGAUAUCCUAUUUUUCAUUUUUAGGAAUCCUGUUUGGCUCUUUUUCAAAUAUGUUUUUUUCACAUUUUAGUUUCAUGCUCCCUGAAAAUAUUUUUAAGUUUGUCAUUUGUUUCAUUUAACGUGGUAAGCAUAAUUGUUUUUAUUUAUUUAUUUAUUUGAGAUAGGGUUCUUGCUCUGUUGCCCAGGAUGGACUGCAGUGGCAUGAACAUGGCUCACUGCAGCCUCAACCUCCUGGGCUCAUACAGUCUUCCCAGUUUAGCCUCCCAAGUUGCUGGGACUACACCACGCCCAGCUAAUUUUCAAAAAUAUUUUAUAGAGACAGGGUCUUGCCAUGUCAUUCAGGCUGGUCUUGAACUCCCAAGCUCAAGCAAGCCACCAGCCUUGGCCUCCCAAAGUGUCAGAAUUACAGUCGUGAGCCACCAUGCCCAGCUCAUAAUUGUUUUUAAAAGUAGCCUUGAUAAUUCCAGUUUCUAAAGCCUGUGCAGCUCUAUUUGUCUUGUUUGUGGUUUUUCUUGGCCUUUCUUCAUGUUGUCAUAUUCCUUUUUUUUUUUUUUGAGACAAAAUCUCGCCCUGUCACCCAGGCUGGUGUGCAAUGGUGCGACCUCGGCUCACUACAACCCCUGCCUCCCAGGUUCAAACGAUUCUCCUGCCUCACCCUCCUGAGUAGCUAGGAUUAUAGGCGCCCGCCACCACGCCCAGCUAAUUUUUCUAUUUUUUAGUAGAGACGGGGUUUCACCAUGUUGGCCAGGCUGGUGUAAAACUCCUGACCUCGUGAUUUGCCCACUUUAGCCUCCCAAAGUGCUGGGAUUACAGGCGUGAACCACCACGCCCGGCAUGUUAUCAUAUUGUUUUAAGUGCCUAAUAUCUUUGGCGUUUUGCCGUUACCCUGGAGGAAUUAUUUGUGUGGGUUCCCUGAGGCCUGGGAAGGACCUUCCCGUCUCUUCGUCUGCUAGAUUCUUAGGGGCACCAUCAGAUGAUAACUCUAGCCAAGUUAAAGUUUCAGGAGUCCUUGGCCCAAAAAUGCUACAAGUGCCCUGGAUGCCAGUCCACCUGAGGGCUGGCCCGUGGCCACAUUCUCCCAAAGGCUGCUUAUUUUCUUUUUUGAACUUCAGUUUCAUUCCUUAGUCUCAAGGCUUCGGUCUCUGCAUUCCCAGUAGCGCAUGCGCGCGCGCGCGCGCGCGCGUGUGUGUGUGUGUGUGUGUGUGUGUGUGUGUGAAAAUCUGGCUUGUAUUUUUGUAUUUGUCGUGCUGCCCCAAACCAAUAUGGGCAGCGUCUUCCAUGUGAUACCCACCCAGGCAGGUGGGUCCUGGGUUCUGAUCUCUGUCAUUCUGGCCUGAGGGCCAUGGAACAGGACCACAAGUCCAGUGUAUUAGAAAACAUCCUCAUUGCACAAAUGGCUUGUGCUCUGAGACACUCUCCCUACCUCUCUGGGUACAGCUUCUUUUUAGUCUCAAUGUUCUUAGCGGUUGUGUGGGGACAGCCAGCUACAUGGUUGCUCUGAUCCCUGUCCCCUGUUACUCAUGCCCUGUGUAACUCCAGGAUCUGUGACUUGCUUCUAACACAUAGAAUACUAAUGGGAUGUUUGUUUAAUCCAGAUUUUUAGAUGUUUUCAGUGGUUGGGUCAGUCCUAGCUUGCCUGUCAUUACUGGAAAUGAGCAACUUGAUUCCCUUUGAAUCAAAGAACGAUUUAGAGUUGGGGGUUUUUCAUUUCUUUUUUCUUUUUUUACAUUCUCAAAGGAGGUGACUUUUCUUUUUUCCUUAAAUCAGACAUAAAAUAUCUCAAGCAUAUGGAAAAAUACAAAAGAAUUUAAUACACCUGCGUAUUCACCAUUCAGACUGAACAAAUGUUAAUAUUUUACCAUAUUUACUUCAGUUUUUUUUUUUUUUUUUUUUUGAGAUGAAGUCUCGCUCUGCCACCCAGGCUGAAGUGCAGUGGUGCAAUCUCAGCUCACUGCAACCUCCGCCUCCCAGGUUCAAGCAAUUCUCCUGCCUCAGAUUCCCGAGUAGCCAGGAUUACAGGUGCCCACCACCACACCCGGGUAAUUUUUGUAUUUUUAGUAGAGAUAGGUUUCGCCAUGUUGCCCAGGCUAGUCUUGAACUCCUGACCUCAGGAAUUCCUGGGCCUCCCAAAGUGGUGGGAUUACAGGCAUCAGCCACUGCACCUGGCCCAGAUUUUUUUUUUUUUUUUUUUUAAGAAACAUAACAUUGCAGUGUACAGCCCACUGUCUCCUCUUCUCCUUCCUUCCUCAGAGGUAACUGCUGUCAAGUAAAUGUAUACCCCAGGGUGCUUGCAGCCUCAUAGGUCAGAGACUCUCAAAACUUCUUCCCCCAUUUAUUUAUUUAUUUGUUUGUUUGUUUGAGACAGAGUCUCGCUCUAUCACCCAGGCUGGAGUGCAGUGGUGCAAUCUCGGCUCACUGCAACUUCCACCUCCUGGGUUCAAGGGAUUCUCCUGCUUCAGCCUCCCAAGUAGCUGAGAUUACAGGUGUCUGCCACCAAGCCCGGCAAAUUUUUGUAUUUUUAGUAGAGACGGAGUUUCACCAUGUUGGCCAGGCUGGUUUCAAAUGACUGACCUCAAGUGAUCCACCCACCUCAGCCUCCCAAAAUGCUAGGAUUACAGGCGUGAGCCACAGCACCUGGCCCUCUAUGUUUUUAUGAGUGGCAUUAUUUGAUAUCAGUUUAUGAUUUUAAAAUUUAUACUGCGUGUACCUGUUUUUCACCAUUUUAACACAUUUUUGGAGGUUUAUCAUAUUUGAUAUAUUUAUGUCCUCUUUAUCAUUUUAAUAGUAAUAGUAGGCUAUUCUGUUUAUCCGUUUUAUUUCUAUGUGUUCAUCCCCCUAUACAACCACUGGUGUGUGGCAAGCACUUACUAAAUGUCAGCUGUUAUUGAUGGACAUUUAGAAACAAUUGUUUCUAUUUGUUUUUAUAAACAGUGGUUGGUUAACCAUCCUUAUCAAUGUCUUUGUGCCCGCAUGCAGGAGACCUCUCUAGCAUAGGCUCCUGGAAGUCGGAUUGCUGGGUCCCAGGACAGACAUUCAAACUUCGCUCCCCAAAAUGGCUAUUCCAAUUUAUAUUCCCAGCAGCAGUAUGAGUUUCUUUUCCUGAAAAUCCUCACUGGCACAUGGCAUUACCAGACUUCUUUUUAAAAUAUGAAAUAUUGAGUACAUAAAGACAUACGGAGGGCUGAGCGUGGUGGCUUUCCCCUGUAAUCCCUGCAUUUUGGGAGGCUGAGGCAGGCAGAUCUUUUGAGCCCAGGAGUUCGAGACCAACCUGGGCAACAUAAACCUCUACAAAAAAAAAAUACAAAAAUUAGCUGGGUGUGGUGGCACACGCCUGUAGUCCCAGCUACUUGGGAGGCCAAGGUGGGAGGAUCACCUGAGCCUGGGAAGGUCGAGGCUGCAGAGAGCUGAGAUUGUGCCACUGCACUCCAGCUUGGAUGACAAAGCAAGAUCCUGCCUGCAAAAAAAAAAAGACAAGACACGUGGGGAGUAAGAUAAGGAGUUUCCAUAUACUGUCUUUCCAGCUUUAGAAAUAAAACUGCAAAUACAAAUGGAGCCCUUCCUGCACUCCCUGACUUCAUUUCCCUCCUUUGCCCUCCCCGAUGAACGUCAUCCCGAGUUUCAUGAUUUUUAUUCCCAGGCAGGUUUUCGUAGUUUAUAUUAUUUACACAUGUGUCUAUCCAUAAGUAUGCCUUACAACAUUGGCAAAACGAUUUUAAACUACAUGAACUUUAUACCAGUAAUAACACACCCUGUACAACUUUCUGUUGAUUUUUUUUUUAUACUGAACUUCAGCUCUUGAGGUUUAUCUAUGCUGAUGAUGACAGUGACAAUGAUGAUGUCAUCAAACACUUAUAUAGUGCUUGUAUGCCAGGCACUCCUCAUCACAGCUAUGAAUCGUGGUCCACCAAAUAAGUGCAACAGAGUUUAUCUAUUUUUAAAUCUUUGCCAUCACUACUAAUGUUGCAGCGAGUGUUUUCUUGUACAUACAUCCUUGCGGAAGUGUUUGGGUAUAUACCUACGGUAGAGUUCCUUGGUUAUGUGGUACCAGCAUCUUCACCUACCAACUCUGUCCAAAUGGUUACCCCAAGUGUUUGUAUGACCCUGUCAGUAUGUGCGAGGGUUUUUUACUCCACAUUUCCUCCCAAACUUUUUUUUUUUUUUUUUUGACAGAGUCUGGCUCUGUCGCCCAGGCUAAAGUGCAGUGGUGUAUUCGCGGCUCACUGCAACCUCCGCCUGCUGGGUUCAAGCGAUUCUCCCGCCUCAGCCUCCCGAGUAGCUGGAAUUACAGGUGCAUGCCACCACGCCCAGCAAAUUUUUUUAUUUUAGUAGAGAUGAGGUUUCACCAUGUUGUCCAGGCUGGUCUCGAACUCCUGACCUCAAGUGAUCCGCCCACCUCGGCCUCCCAAAGUGCUGGGAUUACAGGCGUGAGUCACUGUGCCCAGCCUCCCUGGAAACUUCAUUGUGUUCAAUUUAAGUUUUUCCUUUCUCCUAGGUAUAAAAGAGAACCUCAUCAUUUUCAUUUGCAUUUCCUUGAUUACCGAUGAGGUUGAUUUUCUUGGUCUUUUGUUCCUUCUUCUGUCAAAUGCUUAUUUAAAUUUUCCCCAAUUUUUCUACUGGAGUUUUUGGCCCUUAUUAUAUAGACAUAUAUGGAUUAUUAUAUAUACAUAUAUUAUGUAUUA